This is a non-coding RNA of Triticum aestivum (bread wheat), 134 nucleotides long. The record is from Rfam. Lineage: Eukaryota; Viridiplantae; Streptophyta; Magnoliopsida; Poales; Poaceae.
CAAAUACUCCCUCCGUCCGAAAAUACUUGUCAUCAAAAUGGAUAAAAGGAAAUGUAUCUAGACGUAUUUUAGGUUUAGAUACAUCUCUUUUAUGCAUUUUGAUGACAAGUAUUUACGAACGGAGGGAGCAGAAA